RNAcentral lists this long non-coding RNA (3706 nucleotides) under Homo sapiens (human). RNAcentral describes it as "HSALNT0381091". Lineage: Eukaryota; Metazoa; Chordata; Mammalia; Primates; Hominidae. The record is from RNAcentral.
GCAGAUAAGGUUCAGGGCCACUAAUUUAAACCCUAAAAGUCUUAUACCAGAUCUUUCUAUAGUUUGGGGUGUGCUACUUUCCUGUCUGUGGAAAUCCUGCUUGUCCUACAGGGCUCAUCUCAGCCGCCCCUUCUUAGGUGAAGCCUUCCUUGACUUCCCAGUUUCCUGAGGCAAAGUUAAUUGCUUCCCCACCAUCAUUAAUUCUGGUGGGGUCCAGGCCGUGCCUGGGUGCAAAUCCUGCCUCCAUGACUUCCUAGUUGUACCGUGGCCACAUCUCUCCACUUCUGCAAGCCUCAAUCUUUUUAUCUGUAAAAUGAGGCUAACAAUAAAAGUACCUAUUUUAUGGGGUUAAUGUUCAGUUAAAUGCAAUAAUCUGCUUAUAACAGUGGUGGUCAGUAAAUGCUAGCCAUUUCUUAUAACUCAAAUUCUUUUCUGCCUUUUCUGCACUUUCAAAAUGCAAACUCCUUGAAAGUGGAACGAGUCCACCCCAGCCUCAUGCUCCCCGUACUCUGUCUACACUGUGCUCUGCACGUAGCAGUAUUCAAUAACUAUUUGAUGAACAAAUGAAUCAGAAGGGAAUCCUUAUGUGACAUUAGAACUUGCUUCCCAGUUUAGCUCUGGCAUAAAUCCAGAGUCCAUAUAUUGAUUUGUUGAGCAAUGUUUUCCUUUAUUGAGUUCUUACUAUAUACUAGGCUCUGAGAAUUUAAAGAUAAACACACAAUUGCUGUCAUUGAGGAGAGUCUGGAGGAGGACACAGAUUCAUGAUUUUGUUAUUUUAUUAUGCUUGUAACAUUGUCUCAGAAGUGCCACCGGGGCACAAAGGAAAAAGAGGGGAAGGGGAGGGAGGAGGGAAGUGUUAGUGCAGAAGAUACAAAGAGAAGGAGCUUGCCGGGUGGAGAGGCAGGGAAGGGCAUUGGAGCUGAAGGAACAGCACCUGCUAGGCCAGAAAGGCCCAAGAGGGCGAGCUGCAAUCCGAGGAUGGUGUGGUACACCAGGAAAGCCGUAGGGGGAUGGAACUGGCCAGGCAGACUGUGGCUGGAAUGGGAGAGGCUCGAGGGCUGGACUAAGUGGCUGGGACUUCAUCCAGCCAGCCAAGGAGGGUCUGGUCAUGUUUGUGAGCCGAGAAGGUAAACAGAGCGCACCUGGGCUGGUUUCCUUCUCUCAGGCCUUCCUGGCGGCCACGCCUUACCGAAAGGAGUCCUGACUCAGAGCUGCUGUGCCGUCCCUUCUCCUGUCCCUGCCUGGAAGAGGCCUAUCAGGUUGACCAAGCUUUGCUCCCACCUGUGGAUGAGAAGGGCAGGUGGCCGAGAGUGGGUGUGGAGGAGGAAGACUGGAUGCCAAUGAUCCUGAUCUCACUCUGUCACCAAGGCUGGAGUGCAGCAGCAGAAUUUCAGCUCACUGCAACCUCGACUUGCUGGGUUCAAGGGAUCUCCCAAGUAGCUGGGACUACAGGUGCACACCAUCAUGCCUGGCUAAUUUUUUGUAGGGAUGGGGUUUUACCAUGCUGCCCAGGCUGGUCUUGAACUUCUGAGUUCAAGCGAUCCUCCCUCCUGAGCCUCCUAAAGUGCUGGGAUUACAGGUUUAAAAAAUAUCCUGGACUUUGGAAAAUAUUCUUAUAUAAAGAAGCAAAAAGAGGAUGGAAUAGACUUGUGCUAACACUGAAACUCCAGUCAAGUUGUAAACUGAAAAAGAACGUGUUGAAACAAGGAAUUGCCCCAUAGCCUUCACAGGAUCUCACUCUGUUGCAGUGUCACUGGAGUGCAGUGGUGCAGUCUUGGCUUCCUGCACCAUCUGCCUUCCAGAAUCAAGCAAUUAUCCAGCUUCAGCCUCCCGAGUAGCUGGGACCACAGACGUGCCACCAUGCCUGGCUUAUUUUUUUAUUUUUUGUAGAGAUGGGGUUUCACCAUUGUUGCCCAGGCUGGGCUCAACUCCUGAGCUCAAAGUGAUCCAUCUGCCUCAGCCUCCCAAAGUGCUGGAAUUACAGGCUCAGUCUAUACUAGUAUAUUUACAACUAUAUUUUAUUACAAUAUUUAUUAAAUAUUGUUGUCUUUUGCUAGGAAACUUAAAAACCUUAAAGAACAUCAUUUGUGAGCUCCCAAUUGGCACAAAUUACAUAAGGUACUCUACACAUAUUUUUAUUUUCUUAACUUUUUGUUAUAACAAGUGAAAAAUCUAAAAAUCAACUGAAUAAGCUUUUAUGUUGAAAAGUAUACUUAAAUGAUUCUGGUGAUCAUGGUGUUCUAGUAAGAAAAAUGCUUUGCUAGUGAUGUGACAGCGUACGGCAUAUGAAUAAUAUUUGAAAUCUUGCUACUCUUUUCUUAUAUUCUGCCCCAAACCCAAAGGAAGUUUAAAAUGAGAAAAAAGGUAAAGGUAUGAAAGAACCUUUGGUGACUCAGGUGGCUUCAGACUUACCAGUCACAAAAACUUGCAAGCAGGUUCUAGGAGACUUCACUGCAUCCAUAUAUGCUGUUAAUAGUGUUUUUUUUUUUUUUUGAGACGGAGUCUCACUCUGUUGCCCAGGCUAGAGUGCAGUGGUGUGAUCUCGGCUCGGCUCGCUGCAACCUCCACCUCCUGGGUUCAAGUAAUUCUUCCACUUCAGCCUUACGAGUAGCUGGGACUAUAGGCACCUGCCACCAUGCCAAGCUAAUUUUUGUAUUUUUAGUAGAGACGGGGUUUCACCAUGUUGGCCAGGCUGGUCUCAAACUCCUGACCUCAAGUGCCCACUCCAGCCUCCCAAAGUGCUGGGAUUACAGGCAUGAGCCACCGCACCCGGCUUGUUAUAGUCUUAAAACACUCUACACCAGGGGUUAGUAAACGUUUCCUAUAAAGGGCCAGAUAGUAAAUAUUUUAUGUCACUACGCAACUCUCCACGGUAGCAUGGAAGCAGCCAUAGACAAUACGUAACUGAAUGAGUGUGGUGUGUUCCGGUAACGCUUUAUAGACACAGAAAUUCACUUAAAGUCCAUAUAAUUUUCACAUGCCAUGAAAUAUUUACUGUUUUUUUUUGGGGGGGGAUGGGGACAGGGUCUCACUGUCACUCAGGCUAGAGAGCAGUGGCACCAUCACGGCUCAGUGUAGCCUAGACCUCCUGAGCUCAAGUGAUCCUCCUAUCUCUCAGCCUCCUGAGUAGCUGGGAUCACAGGCAUGUGCCACUAUGCCCAGUUAAUUUUUGUAUUUUUUGUAGAGAUGAGGUUUCACCAUGUUGCCAAGGCUGGUCUUGAACUCCUGGGUUCAAGCAAUCCAGCUGCCUUGGCCUCCUGAAAUGUUAGGAUUACAGGCGUGAGCCACUGCACCCAGUGAUUUAAUAGAUGUAAAAAUCAUUCUUAGUUCUUGGGGCAAAUAAAACAGGCUUGCAGGCCAGAUUUGGCCUGGGAGGUAUAGUGUAGACUGGUCCACACGAUUGGAGAGUCAGCAGGCUCUUACUCUCAGACUUCCUGGUGGUCCUCACCAGUCUAUUUUACAGUGGCUUCUUUAUUUCCUUUCUGCCACUGUUGAUGGGACUGUAGCGUCACUGCAUGUGACUGAUACCAAAAGAGAAAGGUUCUUUUAAUUAAUCUUUCCAUACUAUCCAGAAGAUUUUUUUCAGUUUUAUUUCUUAAACAUAUAAGAGGGCAUUAUAAAAUGACAUUAUAAUUAUAAAAGAUUUUCUUUUAAGAACAAUGUUUUUAGGCCUACUAAUAUUACUUAAUAAAAAGAGCAGAUAUUU